This 327-nucleotide ribosomal RNA is filed under the name Triticum aestivum (bread wheat). RNAcentral describes it as "partial small subunit ribosomal RNA". Lineage: Eukaryota; Viridiplantae; Streptophyta; Magnoliopsida; Poales; Poaceae. The record is from RNAcentral.
AUGCUAGAAGAUCCUUGUGAAGAUGGGAAUGAUGAUGAUGAUGAGGAAGACAAUGCCAUUGUGUUUGUUGAUGAUGCUACUGAGAAAAGGAAGAAAGGGAAGAAAAGGAAAAGAGAAAAGAUAAUACAGACUAGGUGCAAAGCCAAGAUGAUAGUAAAAUUCAUUGAUGGCCAUUGGGAAGUCACUUAUUUCAUUGCUGAGCAUAACCAUCCAUUGAUCGACAAAACUUCCUUGACUAAAUAUUUACGAUCACACCAAGGCAUCCCCCCAGAAGAGAAGCUGUUUCUAAAGAACCUUCAUAACUGCAACUUAACUACAAGUGAAUGA